CUUAUUUCUUAAAGUAAUAAGCACCGCAAUCUGGGGAAGCCAGGGGGCAGGCGACGCUGGGCCGGCGCGGGCUGGAGCGCCCGCAGGGGCGGGCCGGGGUUCGGGGCGCUGCCGGUGGUGACGCGCGGUCCCCGCCCGCCGCGCCACUGCGAUGGCUGAGCCCGGCCGUCGGACGCCGCCGCCAGAAGCCUGAUCGAGGGGAACCUUGCAUUUGAAUUAAAACCUAAGAGGAGAAGAACAUGUUGGAUGUACGCCAGGAAGCAAACACAAGUGGAAGUGAGAUUCAAGAUUCCCCCUUCUGCACUCCUGCCUACCUUUAUCUUAGCAUGAGCCCUGACUCUCCCUGAGGGCAGGGACAGGGCAGAGACCAAAUCCCCCUUGACCUCCCAGGCUCCCAUCACCUCGGAUCCGCCCACUCUGGGGACAGAAGUGAAGCUGUAGUGUGGACCUUCUCGUGACUGCUUAUCUCAACAAACAUCACUUCUUCAAGACUCAUCCAUGGUGCACUGGGAGGUGAUGGCAUCCCCUUCUGUCUUCUUUUUAAUUAAAAAAAUAAUUUAUUUUUA
Molecule: long non-coding RNA, 566 nt
Organism: Rattus norvegicus (Norway rat)
Lineage: Eukaryota; Metazoa; Chordata; Mammalia; Rodentia; Muridae
Source: Ensembl